This 468-nucleotide ribosomal RNA is filed under the name uncultured bacterium. Its description in RNAcentral is "partial 16S ribosomal RNA". It matches the Rfam family "Bacterial small subunit ribosomal RNA", at positions 28 to 507 of the family's 1533-position model. The record is from RNAcentral.
GACGAACGCUGGCGGCGUGCUUAACACAUGCAAGUCGAACGGAAAGGCCCUGCUUUUGUGGGGUGCUCGAGUGGCGAACGGGUGAGUAACACGUGAGUAACCUGCCCUUGACUUUGGGAUAACUUCAGGAAACUGGGGCUAAUACCGGAUAGGAGCUCCUGCUGCAUGGUGGGGGUUGGAAAGUUUCGGCGGUUGGGGAUGGACUCGCGGCUUAUCAGCUUGUUGGUGGGGUUGUGGCUUACCAAGGCUUUGACGGGUAGCCGGCCUGAGAGGGUGACCGGCCACAUUGGGACUGAGAUACGGCCCAGACUCCUACGGGAGGCAGCAGGGGGGAAUAUUGCACAAUGGGCGGAAGCCUGAUGCAGCAACGCCGCGUGCGGGAUGACGGCCUUCGGGUUGUAAACCGCUUUCGCCUGUGACGAAGCGUGAGUGACGGUAAUGGGUAAAGAAGCACCGGCUAACUACGUG